This 420-nucleotide small RNA is filed under the name Pan troglodytes (chimpanzee). RNAcentral describes it as "processed transcript". Lineage: Eukaryota; Metazoa; Chordata; Mammalia; Primates; Hominidae. The record is from RNAcentral.
AGGCGCGGGACGUAAGAGAUGCCCAGGUUUCUCGGUGACUCUCCCCGUAAUGCGCGUCCAGAUUCCUGACCUCACGCUGCCACUUCUUCGAGGCAGGUUUCUUGCCAGUGAGGAUGAGGAUGAUGACCUUCAGUAUGCCGAUCAUGAUUAUGAAGUACCACAACAAAAAGGACUGAAGAAACUCUGGAACAGAGUAAAAUGGACAAGGGACGAGGAUGAUAAAUUAAAGAAGUUGGUCGAACAACAUGGAACUGAUGAUUGGACUCUAAUUGCUAGUCAUCUUCAAAAUCGCUCUGAUUUUCAGUGCCAGCAUCGAUGGCAGAAAGUUUUAAAUCCUGAAUUGAUAAAGGGUCCUUGGACUAAAGAAGAAGAUCAGAGGGUUAUUGAAUUAGUUCAGAAAUAUGGGCCAAAAAGAUGGUC